UUAAGCGACUAAGCGUACACGGUGGAUGCCCUGGCAGUCAGAGGCGAUGAAGGACGUGCUAAUCUGCGAUAAGCGUCGGUGAGGUGAUAUGAACCGUUAUAACCGGCGAUUUCCGAAUGGGGAAACCCAGUGUGUUUCGACACACUAUCAUUAACUGAAUCCAUAGGUUAAUGAGGCGAACCGGGGGAACUGAAACAUCUAAGUACCCCGAGGAAAAGAAAUCAACCGAGAUUCCCCCAGUAGCGGCGAGCGAACGGGGAGGAGCCCAGAGCCUGAAUCAGUGUGUGUGUUAGUGGAAGCGUCUGGAAAGGCGUGCGAUACAGGGUGACAGCCCCGUACACAAAAAUGCACAUAUUGUGAGCUCGAUGAGUAGGGCGGGACACGUGGUAUCCUGUCUGAAUAUGGGGGGACCAUCCUCCAAGGCUAAAUACUCCUGACUGACCGAUAGUGAACCAGUACCGUGAGGGAAAGGCGAAAAGAACCCCGGCGAGGGGAGUGAAAAAGAACCUGAAACCGUGUACGUACAAGCAGUGGGAGCCUCUUAAUGGGGUGACUGCGUACCUUUUGUAUAAUGGGUCAGCGACUUAUAUUCUGUAGCAAGGUUAACCGAAUAGGGGAGCCGAAGGGAAACCGAGUCUUAACUGGGCGUUAAGUUGCAGGGUAUAGACCCGAAACCCGGUGAUCUAGCCAUGGGCAGGUUGAAGGUUGGGUAACACUAACUGGAGGACCGAACCGACUAAUGUUGAAAAAUUAGCGGAUGACUUGUGGCUGGGGGUGAAAGGCCAAUCAAACCGGGAGAUAGCUGGUUCUCCCCGAAAGCUAUUUAGGUAGCGCCUCGUGAAUUCAUCUCCGGGGGUAGAGCACUGUUUCGGCAAGGGGGUCAUCCCGACUUACCAACCCGAUGCAAACUGCGAAUACCGGAGAAUGUUAUCACGGGAGACACACGGCGGGUGCUAACGUCCGUCGUGAAGAGGGAAACAACCCAGACCGCCAGCUAAGGUCCCAAAGUCAUGGUUAAGUGGGAAACGAUGUGGGAAGGCCCAGACAGCCAGGAUGUUGGCUUAGAAGCAGCCAUCAUUUAAAGAAAGCGUAAUAGCUCACUGGUCGAGUCGGCCUGCGCGGAAGAUGUAACGGGGCUAAACCAUGCACCGAAGCUGCGGCAGCGACACUAUGUGUUGUUGGGUAGGGGAGCGUUCUGUAAGCCUGUGAAGGUGGCCUGUGAGGGUUGCUGGAGGUAUCAGAAGUGCGAAUGCUGACAUAAGUAACGAUAAAGCGGGUGAAAAGCCCGCUCGCCGGAAGACCAAGGGUUCCUGUCCAACGUUAAUCGGGGCAGGGUGAGUCGACCCCUAAGGCGAGGCCGAAAGGCGUAGUCGAUGGGAAACAGGUUAAUAUUCCUGUACUUGGUGUUACUGCGAAGGGGGGACGGAGAAGGCUAUGUUGGCCGGGCGACGGUUGUCCCGGUUUAAGCGUGUAGGCUGGUUUUCCAGGCAAAUCCGGAAAACCAAGGCUGAGGCGUGAUGACGAGGCACUACGGUGCUGAAGCGACAAAUGCCCUGCUUCCAGGAAAAGCCUCUAAGCAUCAGGUAACAUCAAAUCGUACCCCAAACCGACACAGGUGGUCAGGUAGAGAAUACCAAGGCGCUUGAGAGAACUCGGGUGAAGGAACUAGGCAAAAUGGUGCCGUAACUUCGGGAGAAGGCACGCUGAUAUGUAGGUGAAGCGACUUGCUCGUGGAGCUGAAAUCAGUCGAAGAUACCAGCUGGCUGCAACUGUUUAUUAAAAACACAGCACUGUGCAAACACGAAAGUGGACGUAUACGGUGUGACGCCUGCCCGGUGCCGGAAGGUUAAUUGAUGGGGUUAGCGGUAACGCGAAGCUCUUGAUCGAAGCCCCGGUAAACGGCGGCCGUAACUAUAACGGUCCUAAGGUAGCGAAAUUCCUUGUCGGGUAAGUUCCGACCUGCACGAAUGGCGUAAUGAUGGCCAGGCUGUCUCCACCCGAGACUCAGUGAAAUUGAACUCGCUGUGAAGAUGCAGUGUACCCGCGGCAAGACGGAAAGACCCCGUGAACCUUUACUAUAGCUUGACACUGAACAUUGAGCCUUGAUGUGUAGGAUAGGUGGGAGGCUUUGAAGUGUGGACGCCAGUCUGCAUGGAGCCGACCUUGAAAUACCACCCUUUAAUGUUUGAUGUUCUAACGUUGGCCCGUAAUCCGGGUUGCGGACAGUGUCUGGUGGGUAGUUUGACUGGGGCGGUCUCCUCCUAAAGAGUAACGGAGGAGCACGAAGGUUGGCUAAUCCUGGUCGGACAUCAGGAGGUUAGUGCAAUGGCAUAAGCCAGCUUGACUGCGAGCGUGACGGCGCGAGCAGGUGCGAAAGCAGGUCAUAGUGAUCCGGUGGUUCUGAAUGGAAGGGCCAUCGCUCAACGGAUAAAAGGUACUCCGGGGAUAACAGGCUGAUACCGCCCAAGAGUUCAUAUCGACGGCGGUGUUUGGCACCUCGAUGUCGGCUCAUCACAUCCUGGGGCUGAAGUAGGUCCCAAGGGU
RNAcentral lists this ribosomal RNA (2544 nucleotides) under human gut metagenome. Its description in RNAcentral is "bacterial LSU rRNA". It matches the Rfam family "Bacterial large subunit ribosomal RNA", at positions 1 to 2572 of the family's 2925-position model. The record is from RNAcentral.